AUACGUAGGGGGCGAGCGUUGUCCGGAAUGAUUGGGCGUAAAGGGCGCGUAGGCGGCCUGUUAAGUCUGGAGUGAAAGUCCUGUUUUCAAGAUGGGAAUUGCUUUGGAUACUGAUGGGCUUGAGUGCAGGAGAGGUUAUCGGAAUUCCCGGUGUAGCGGUGAAAUGCGUAGAGAUCGGGAGGAACACCAGUGGCGAAGGCGGGUAACUGGACUGCAACUGACGCUGAGGCGCGAAAGUGUGGGGAGCAAACAGGAUUAGAUACCCUGGUAGUCCGCACUGUAAACGAUGAAUGCUAGGUGUAAGAGGUAUCGACCCCUUUUGUGCCGGAGUUAACACAAUAAGCAUUCCGCCUGGGGAGUACGGCCGCAAGGUUGAAACUCAAAUGAAUUGACGGGG
This 397-nucleotide ribosomal RNA is filed under the name uncultured bacterium. RNAcentral describes it as "partial 16S ribosomal RNA". It matches the Rfam family "Bacterial small subunit ribosomal RNA", at positions 523 to 918 of the family's 1533-position model. The record is from RNAcentral.